UGCGUAGGCGGGCAAUUAAGUCAGAGGUGAAAUCCCACAGCUCAACUGUGGAACUGCCUUUGAUACUGGUUGUCUUGAGUUAUAGUGAAGUAGAUAGAAUAUGUAGUGUAGCGGUGAAAUGCAUAGAUAUUACAUAGAAUACCGAUUGCGAAGGCAGUCUACUAACUGUAUACUGACGCUAAUGGACGAAAGCGUGGGGAGCGAACAGGAUUAGAUACCCUGGUAGUCC
This 229-nucleotide ribosomal RNA is filed under the name uncultured bacterium. Its description in RNAcentral is "partial 16S ribosomal RNA". It matches the Rfam family "Bacterial small subunit ribosomal RNA", at positions 568 to 796 of the family's 1533-position model. The record is from RNAcentral.